This 351-nucleotide ribosomal RNA is filed under the name Climacostomum virens. RNAcentral's name for it is "partial Eukaryotic large subunit ribosomal RNA". The stretch from base 1 to 261 matches the Rfam family "Eukaryotic large subunit ribosomal RNA", at positions 2960 to 3401 of the family's 3401-position model. The record is from RNAcentral. Lineage: Eukaryota; Ciliophora; Heterotrichea; Heterotrichida; Climacostomidae.
GGUUUAGACCGUCGUGAGACAGGUUAGUUUUAUCCUCCUAUAGAGUAUAGUAAUCUAAAUACAAAAUAAUAAAAUAUUGUAUUUAUAAAUAAAAUAAUAAAGAUAGUUUUGAUAGUAAUUUAAUUCAGUACGAGAGGAACCAUUAAUUCACACAAUUGGUAAUGCAACUGGUUGACAAGCUAAUGUUGCAAAGCUAACAUGUGUUUGAUUAUAGCUGAACGCCUCUAAGCUAGAAUCAAGCCUAAAGAAAGAACUAUUUGUUUUUUUCAAUAAGAAAGAGAGAUAAACAAUUAAAAAAAAGUUUCUUGUGUAAUUAUAUGAAAUAUUUAUUACAUUUAAAAGUAUUUAUAC